Molecule: ribosomal RNA, 481 nt
Filed under: uncultured bacterium
Lineage: Bacteria
Description: partial 16S ribosomal RNA
Rfam family: Bacterial small subunit ribosomal RNA
Source: RNAcentral
GAUGAACGCUGGCGGCGUGCUUAACACAUGCAAGUCGAACGAAGCACUUUAUUUGAUUUCCUUCGGUGCUGAUUAUUUUGUGACUGAGUGGCGGACGGGUGAGUAACGCGUGGGUAACCUGCCUUGUACAGGGGGAUAACUGUUGGAAACGGCUGCUACUACCGCAUAAGCGCGCAGCAUCGCAUGAUGCAGUGGGAAAAGCUCCGGUGGUAUACGAGGGACCCGCGUUGGAUUAGCUAGUUGGUGAGGUAACGGGCCACCAAGGCGACGAUCCAUAGCCGACUGGGGAGGGUGAACGGCCACAUUGGGAAUGAGACACGGCCCAAACUACUACGGGAGGCAGCAGUGGGGAAUAUUGCACAAUGGGCGAAAGCCUGAUGCAGCGACGCCGCGUGAGAGAAGAAGUAUUUCGGUAUGUAAAGCUCUAUCAGCAGGGAAGAGAAUGACGGUACCUGACUAAGAAGCACCGGCUAAAUACGUG